AUUGAACGCUGGCGGCAUGCCUUACACAUGCAAGUCGAACGGCAGCAUGGAGAGCUUGCUCUCUGAUGGCGAGUGGCGAACGGGUGAGUAAUGCAUCGGAACGUACCGUGUAAUGGGGGAUAACGUAGCGAAAGUUACGCUAAUACCGCAUACGACCUGAGGGUGAAAGCAGGGGAUCGCAAGACCUUGCGUUAUACGAGCGGCCGAUGUCAGAUUAGCUAGUUGGUGAGGUAAAGGCUCACCAAGGCGACGAUCUGUAGCGGGUCUGAGAGGAUGAUCCGCCACACGGGGACUGGGACACGGCCCAGACUCCUACGGGAGGCAGCAGUGGGGAAUUUUGGACAAUGGGGGCAACCCUGAUCCAGCCAUGCCGCGUGAGUGAAGAAGGCCUUCGGGUUGUAAAGCUCUUUCGGCCGGGAAGAAAUCGCACAGGCUAAUACUCUGUGUGGAUGACGGUACCGGCAUAAGAAGCACCGGCUAACUACGUGCCAGCCGCCGCAGUAA
RNAcentral lists this ribosomal RNA (504 nucleotides) under uncultured bacterium. RNAcentral describes it as "partial 16S ribosomal RNA". It matches the Rfam family "Bacterial small subunit ribosomal RNA", at positions 30 to 523 of the family's 1533-position model. The record is from RNAcentral.